RNAcentral lists this transfer RNA (62 nucleotides) under Gemmatimonas sp. RNAcentral describes it as "tRNA-Leu". The record is from RNAcentral. Lineage: Bacteria; Pseudomonadati; Gemmatimonadota; Gemmatimonadia; Gemmatimonadales; Gemmatimonadaceae.
GGGCCUCGGCUGCGUCACGCCUGAUAAGCGUGAGGUCGGAGGUUCAACUCCUCCCAGGCCCA